Molecule: ribosomal RNA, 253 nt
Filed under: uncultured bacterium
Lineage: Bacteria
Description: partial 16S ribosomal RNA
Rfam family: Bacterial small subunit ribosomal RNA
Source: RNAcentral
UACGUAGGGUGCGAGCGUUAAUCGGAAUUACUGGGCGUAAAGCGUGCGCAGGCGGUUUUGUAAGCCAGACGUGAAAUCCCCGGGCUGAACCUGGGAAUGGCGUUUGGGACUGCAAGGCUGGAGUGUGGCAGAGGGGACUAGAAUUCCUGGUGUAGCAGUGAAAUGCGUAGAUAUCAGGAGGAAUACCGAUGGCGAAGGCAGGUCCCUGGGCUAACACUGACGCUCAAGCACGAAAGCGUGGGGAGCAAACAGG